This 429-nucleotide ribosomal RNA is filed under the name Bacillota bacterium. RNAcentral describes it as "Firmicutes bacterium partial 16S ribosomal RNA". It matches the Rfam family "Bacterial small subunit ribosomal RNA", at positions 355 to 776 of the family's 1533-position model. The record is from RNAcentral. Lineage: Bacteria; Bacillati; Bacillota.
UAGGGAAUCUUCGGCAAUGGACGGAAGUCUGACCGAGCAACGCCGCGUGAGUGAAGAAGGUUCUCGGAUCGUAAAGCUCUGUUGUCAGAGAAGAACGUUGGUAGGAGCGGAAAAUCUACCAAGUGACGGUAACUAACCAGAAAGGGACGGCUACCUACGUGCCAGCAGCCGCGGUAAUACGUAGGGCCCGAGCGUUGUCCGGAUUUAUUGGGCGUAAAGCGAGCGCAGGCGGUUCUUUAAGUCUGAAGUUAAAGGCAGUGGCUUAACCAUUGUACGCUUUGGAAACUGGGGGACUUGAGUGCGGAAGGGGGGAGUGGAAUUCCAUGUGUAGCGGUGAAAUGCGUAGAUAUAUGGAGGAACACCGGUGGCGAAAGCGGCUCUCUGGUCUGUAACUGACGCUGAGGCUCGAAAGCGUGGGGAGCAAACAGG